ACGGGAGGCAGCAGUGGGGAAUAUUGGACAAUGGGGGGAACCCUGAUCCAGCGACGCCGCGUGAGUGAAGAAGUAUUUCGGUAUGUAAAGCUCUUUAAGCAGGAAAGAAGAUGACGGUACCUGCAGAAUAAGCCCCGGCUAACUACGUGCCAGCAGCCGCGGUAAUACGUAGGGGGCAAGCGUUAUUCGGAUUUACUGGGUGUAAAGGGAGCGUAGACGGCGAUGCAAGUCUGAAGUGAAAGCCCGUGGCUUAACUGCGGGACUGCUUUGGAAACUGUAUAGCUAGAGUGUCGGAGAGGUGAGUGGAAUUCCCAGUGUAGCGGUGAAAUGCGUAGAUAUUAGGAGGAACACCAGUGGCGAAGGCGGCUUACUGGACUGUAACUGACACUGAGGCUCGAAAGCGUGGGGAGCAAACAGGAUUAGAUACCCUGGUA
This 434-nucleotide ribosomal RNA is filed under the name uncultured Lachnospiraceae bacterium. RNAcentral describes it as "bacterial SSU rRNA". It matches the Rfam family "Bacterial small subunit ribosomal RNA", at positions 341 to 792 of the family's 1533-position model. The record is from RNAcentral. Lineage: Bacteria; Bacillati; Bacillota; Clostridia; Lachnospirales; Lachnospiraceae.